AACGAACGCUGGCGGCAGGCCUAACACAUGCAAGUCGAACGCUCCAGCAAUGGAGAGUGGCAGACGGGUGAGUAACGCGUGGGAACCUACCCUUUGGUUCGGAAUAGCCCAGGGAAACUUGGGGUAAUACCGGAUAAGCCCUUCGGGGGAAAGAUUUAUCGCCAAUGGAUGGGCCCGCGUCGGAUUAGCUAGUUGGUGGGGUAACGGCCCACCAAGGCGACGAUCCGUAGCUGGUCUGAGAGGAUGAUCAGCCACACUGGGACUGAGACACGGCCCAGACUCCUACGGGAGGCAGCAGUGGGGAAUAUUGGACAAUGGGCGCAAGCCUGAUCCAGCCAUGCCGCGUGAGUGACGAAGGUCUUCGGAUUGUAAAGCUCUUUUGGCGGGGACGAUAAUGACGGUACCCGCAGAAUAAGCCCCGGCUAACUUCGUGC
Molecule: ribosomal RNA, 434 nt
Filed under: uncultured bacterium
Lineage: Bacteria
Description: bacterial SSU rRNA
Rfam family: Bacterial small subunit ribosomal RNA
Source: RNAcentral